GCCAGUAUGGUGGAUAUGAUCCUCGGCUUGUAACCGAGUGGGGCUCGGGUUCGAAUCCCGAAUAAGGCA
Molecule: transfer RNA, 69 nt
Filed under: Trichonephila clavata
Lineage: Eukaryota; Metazoa; Arthropoda; Arachnida; Araneae; Nephilidae
Description: tRNA-Thr
Source: RNAcentral